This 253-nucleotide ribosomal RNA is filed under the name uncultured bacterium. Its description in RNAcentral is "partial 16S ribosomal RNA". It matches the Rfam family "Bacterial small subunit ribosomal RNA", at positions 524 to 776 of the family's 1533-position model. The record is from RNAcentral.
UACGUAGGGGGCAAGCGUUGUCCGGAUUUAUUGGGCGUAAAGAGCGUGUAGGCGGCCUUACAGGUCAGCUGUGAAAACUCGAGGCUCAACCUCGAGACGUCGGUUGAAACCGUAUGGCUAGAGUCCGGAAGAGGAGAGUGGAAUUCCCGGUGUAGCGGUGAAAUGCGCAGAUAUCGGGAAGAACACCCGUGGCGAAGGCGGCUCUCUGGGACGGUACUGACGCUAAGGCGCGAAAGCGUGGGGAGCGAACAGG